GCUCGGGUGGUGGAAUUGGUAGACACACACGUUUGAGGGGCGUGUGCCGAAAGGCGUGCGGGUUCGAGUCCCGCCUCGAGCACGA
This 85-nucleotide transfer RNA is filed under the name Cephaloticoccus capnophilus. Its description in RNAcentral is "tRNA-Leu". It matches the Rfam family "tRNA". Rfam says of the family: Transfer RNA (tRNA) molecules are approximately 80 nucleotides in length. Their secondary structure includes four short double-helical elements and three loops (D, anti-codon, and T loops). Further hydrogen bonds mediate the characteristic L-shaped molecular structure. tRNAs have two regions of fundamental functional importance: the anti-codon, which is responsible for specific mRNA codon recognition, and the 3' end, to which the tRNAs corresponding amino acid is attached (by aminoacyl-tRNA synthetases). tRNAs cope with the degeneracy of the genetic code in two manners: having more than one tRNA (with a specific anti-codon) for a particular amino acid; and 'wobble' base-pairing, i.e. permitting non-standard base-pairing at the 3rd anti-codon position. The record is from RNAcentral. Lineage: Bacteria; Pseudomonadati; Verrucomicrobiota; Opitutia; Opitutales; Opitutaceae.